CGCGCAGGCGGGUUAGUAAGUCAGAGGUGAAAUCCUACAGCUCAACUGUAGAACUGCCUUUGAUACUGCUAAUCUUGAGUAUGGAAGAGAGAGACGGAAUUCCAGGUGUAGUGGUGAAAUACGUAGAUAUCUGGAAGAACACCAGUUGCGAAGGCGGUCUCUUGGUCCAAUACUGACGCUGAGGCGCGAAAGCGUGGGUAGCAAACA
Molecule: ribosomal RNA, 207 nt
Filed under: uncultured bacterium
Lineage: Bacteria
Description: partial 16S ribosomal RNA
Rfam family: Bacterial small subunit ribosomal RNA
Source: RNAcentral